GAUGAAGAACGUAGUGAAAUGCGAUAAGUAAUGUGAAUUGCAGAAUUCAGUGAAUCAUCGAAUCUUUGAACGCACAUUGCGCCCCCUGGCAUUCCGGGGGGCAUGCCUGUUCGAGCGUCAUUACAACCCUCAAGCUCUGCUUGGUAUUGGGCUCUGCCGGUCCCGGCAGGCCUUAAAAUCAGUGGCGGCGCCACUCGGCUUCAAGCGUAGUAAUUCUUCUCGCUUCGGAGACCCGGGUGCGUGCUAGCCAGCAACCCCCAACUUUCUCAGGUUGACCUCGGAUCAGGUAGGGAUACCCGCUGAACUUAAGCAUAUCAAUAAGCGGAGGA
Molecule: unclassified non-coding RNA, 329 nt
Filed under: soil metagenome
Description: partial contains 5.8S ribosomal RNA, internal transcribed spacer 2, and large subunit ribosomal RNA
Rfam family: 5.8S ribosomal RNA (bases 1-120)
Source: RNAcentral